UACGUAGGGUGCGAGCGUUAAUCGGACUUACUGGGCGUAAAGCGUGCGCAGGCGGUUCUGCAAGUCAGAUGUGGAAGCCCCGGGCUCAACCUGGGAAUUGCAUUUGAAACUACAGGGCUAGAGUGUGUCAGAGGGGGGUAGAAUUCCACGUGUAGCAGUGAAAUGCGUAGAGAUGUGGAGGAAUACCGAUGGCGAAGGCAGCCCCCUGGGAUAACACUGACGCUCAUGCACGAAAGCGUGGGGAGCAAACAGG
Molecule: ribosomal RNA, 253 nt
Filed under: uncultured bacterium
Lineage: Bacteria
Description: partial 16S ribosomal RNA
Rfam family: Bacterial small subunit ribosomal RNA
Source: RNAcentral